RNAcentral lists this ribosomal RNA (296 nucleotides) under uncultured bacterium. Its description in RNAcentral is "partial 16S ribosomal RNA". It matches the Rfam family "Bacterial small subunit ribosomal RNA", at positions 333 to 644 of the family's 1533-position model. The record is from RNAcentral.
AAUUUCCUACGGGACGCAGCAGUGGGGAAUAUUGGGCAAUGGACGCAAGUCUGACCCAGCAACGCCGCGUGAAGGAAGAAGGCUUUCGGGUUGUAAACUUCUUUUAAGGGGGAAGAGAAGAAGACGGUACCACUUGAAUAAGCCACGGCUAACUACGUGCCAGCAGCCGCGGUAAUACGUAGGUGGCAAGCGUUGUCCGGAUUUACUGGGUGUAAAGGGCGUGCAGCCGGAGAGACAAGUCAGAUGUGACAUCCACGGGCUCAACCCGGGAUCUGAAUUUGAAACUGUUGGUCUUG